This 497-nucleotide ribosomal RNA is filed under the name uncultured bacterium. RNAcentral's name for it is "partial 16S ribosomal RNA". It matches the Rfam family "Bacterial small subunit ribosomal RNA", at positions 28 to 507 of the family's 1533-position model. The record is from RNAcentral.
GACGAACGCUGGCGGCGUGCCUAAUACAUGCAAGUCGAGCGAACGGACGAGAAGCUUGCUUUUCUGAUGUUAGCGGCGGACGGGUGAGUAACACGUGGAUAACCUACCUAUAAGACUGGGAUAACUUCGGGAAACCGGAGCUAAUACCGGAUAAUAUUUUGAACCGCAUGGUUCAAAAGUGAAAGACGGUCUUGCUGUCACUUAUAGAUGGAUCCGCGCUGCAUUAGCUAGUUGGUAAGGUAACGGCUUACCAAGGCAACGAUGCAUAGCCGACCUGAGAGGGUGAUCGGCCACACUGGAACUGAGACACGGUCCAGACUCCUACGGGAGGCAGCAGUAGGGAAUCUUCCGCAAAGGGCGAAAGCCUGACGGAGCAACGCCGCGUGAGUGAUGAAGGUCUUCGGAUCGUAAAACUCUGUUAUUAGGGAAGAACAUAUGUGUAAGUAACUGUGCACAUCUUGACGGUACCUAAUCAGAAAGCCACGGCUAACUACGUG